GUCUUAGUAGUAUAAAAAUUACAUUGGUCUUGUAAACCAAAAACGAAAACCUUAAACUUUUCCUAAGACA
Molecule: transfer RNA, 70 nt
Filed under: Galemys pyrenaicus
Lineage: Eukaryota; Metazoa; Chordata; Mammalia; Eulipotyphla; Talpidae
Description: tRNA-Thr
Source: RNAcentral